GAUGAACGCUGGCGGCGUGCUUAACACAUGCAAGUCGAACGAAGCACUUUUACAGAUUUCUUCGGAAUGAAGUUUUAGUGACUGAGUGGCGGACGGGUGAGUAACGCGUGGGUAACCUGCCUCACACAGGGGGAUAACAGUUGGAAACGGCUGCUAAUACCGCAUAAGCGCACAGUACCGCAUGGUACAGUGUGAAAAACUCCGGUGGUGUGAGAUGGACCCGCGUCUGAUUAGCUAGUUGGCAGGGCAACGGCCUACCAAGGCGACGAUCAGUAGCCGACCUGAGAGGUGACCGGCCACAUUGGGACUGAGACACGGCCCAAACUCCUACGGGAGGCAGCAGUGGGGAAUAUUGGCACAAUGGGGGAAACCCUGAUGCAGCGA
RNAcentral lists this ribosomal RNA (384 nucleotides) under uncultured bacterium. Its description in RNAcentral is "bacterial SSU rRNA". It matches the Rfam family "Bacterial small subunit ribosomal RNA", at positions 28 to 394 of the family's 1533-position model. The record is from RNAcentral.